Molecule: long non-coding RNA, 1655 nt
Filed under: Anas platyrhynchos platyrhynchos (common mallard)
Lineage: Eukaryota; Metazoa; Chordata; Aves; Anseriformes; Anatidae
Description: lncRNA (ENSAPLG00000027235.1)
Source: RNAcentral
GUGUGCUCACCUGAGGUUCCAUCUCUCACCAGCCCAUUCCUCCAUGGACGCUGCCCCGUUUGAGUCCCAGGAAGGGAGAUUGGUGGCCCCUUGCCUGGAGAUGCAAAGUGAAAGGCAGGAGAGGCAGAGGCAGAUCAAGGAACUUCAGAAAGCAGCUUUUUUUCAAAGCCUUGGCUAGCCUGGCGUCCUCUAUAUGCAGUUAUUGACAGGCCCAUAUGAAGAAACACCAGAAGAAAACACCAGCUGGCAGGAGGAGACCCUGGCCCCGUUUCCUGGCUCUUCAGGGCAAAAGCAAACAGACUGGGCCAGCAGGCAGGUGGUGGGGACCUGCUCAGCAGCUCUGCAAAAGCAAACACCACACCUCCAGCACCCGGCCUUUUCCAAAGCCCGUCUUUGGUGCAGACCUCUGCAGGAGAAAGCCUUGCUGGAGGUCACAAAGCCGCCCCCUUGGCGCUGGCGCCAGCCACAUGCUGGCAGCACCCCCCCCCUCCGAUUCCAAACACCGCCUCCAGCGCAGGAGACAGCAGAGGAGGAAACACAGAGCUUCAAAAUUACCCAUCAGAGGGAAACCAGUGCCACACACCCCAUCAGCUCUGCAGUGGGAUCCAAACUCAAAGCAGGAAUAAAACUUCCCAACUCCACUGCAGCGAACUGAUCUGCACUGAGGACCUUACAUUGAGUAAGGGAGCAAGACGACCCGUGUAGGUUGCUUUGGACAAUGCAUUUCUUACUGUUGCACAUGGGAGACUCAGUGGCGUGCUAUAGACAUGUUUCUUCAUAGUAGCUGGAAAAUAGAAAGAAAUGGAUAAAAUACCAGAAAACCAAGGUCUUCUGCACAAUGACUGCUUGGUGGGUUGGACAAGGAGAUUAGGAUGUGUGUAGCCACCCCACACCAGGAGGAUUGGUGUGAGUAAUGCAAGGCAAGGAGAGUUUGAAUGGAGAUCCAUAAAGCAAAGAAAUGGAGCAGAAAGAGCCUCUGUGAUGGGGUUCACUUGGAACAAAUGCAAGAUAUCGUAAACUUGCAAAGAUCGUCAAAGAUCAUCACACAGAUGGGAUGGGUGCCAAUGAGCUAGGCAGCUACGCAGAAAUGCUCCUGGGGUCGUAGUGGAUCUAAAGGUGAAGGAGCACCAGUAUGAACAGCUAACAGGAGACAAAAGAGCAUCCCAAGAUGCUGCAUCAACAGGAAAGCUCUCUGGCAGAAAGACAUUUAAUGAUGGUCUUUGUUUAGGCAUUGGGCUGAGCUUGGGUUUGGGGGAACAAUGUUUUGGGGAGGGUGGAUGAAGAAGGGGAAGCAUGCAGACAAUUUGAAUGUGGAAAAGGCAGCUGGAAGGAGAAAGCAGCCAUCCCUCUCCAUGCCCACAUUGUGCCCAGGAGAAGUUGUGACCUGUAAAUUGCAGCAAGGGAGGUUUCAUUCAGUAAGUGGUGUCCCUGUGUCUUGGGGUCCUUCUGCUGUGGGAUGGUGCUCGAACGGUGGAAUGCUGAUGGGGCUGGCCAUGCUGCCACCCACACAGCACACUGCACCGUGGCAGGCCCAGGAACAUGGGCAGCAGUUGUCUGGCUCAGUUAAAGGCUGGAAAGAGCAACAGGACUAGCUGCCAAUGCCUAGUGCUAUGCAAUUUUGGAGAAGGUUAAGCCAGCAAGGAGCUGAGCAGGAA